CAGCAGCCGCGGGAAUACGUAGGGUGCAAGCGUUAAUCGGAAUUACUGGGCGUAAAGCGCGCGCAGGCGGUUAUAUAAGUCAGAUGUGAAAUCCCCGGGCUCAACCUGGGAACUGCAUUUGAGACUGUAUGGCUAGAGUGUGUCAGAGGGGGGUAGAACUCCACGUGUAGCAGUGAAAUGCGUAGAUAUGUGGAGGAAUACCGAUGGCGAAGGCAGCCCCCUGGGAUAACACUGACGCUCAUGCACGAAAGCGUGGGGAGCAAACAGGAUUAGAUACCCCCGUAGUCCCUGUCUCUUAUAC
Molecule: ribosomal RNA, 301 nt
Filed under: uncultured bacterium
Lineage: Bacteria
Description: partial 16S ribosomal RNA
Rfam family: Bacterial small subunit ribosomal RNA
Source: RNAcentral